This 997-nucleotide ribosomal RNA is filed under the name Streptococcus equinus. RNAcentral describes it as "bacterial SSU rRNA". It matches the Rfam family "Bacterial small subunit ribosomal RNA", at positions 531 to 1533 of the family's 1533-position model. Lineage: Bacteria; Bacillati; Bacillota; Bacilli; Lactobacillales; Streptococcaceae. The record is from RNAcentral.
CCCGGGGACGUUUUCCGGGAAUUAAUUGGGGCGUAAAGCGCAGCGCAAGGCGGUUUAAUUAAGUCUGAUGUUAAAUGCACUGGCUUAACCAGUGUUCUGUUUGUGAAUCUGGUAAACUUGGAUGCUCAAAGAGAGAGGGAAAUUUCCAGGGGUACCGGGGAAAGGCUUAAAGUUUGGAAGAAAUACCGGUGGCAAAGGCGGUCUCCUGGACGAAAAUGGACCCUAAGGUCCGAAAGCGGGGGAAGCAAACAGGAUUAAAUACCCGGGUAGUCCCCGCCGUAAACAAUGUCGACUUGUGUUUUGUGCUUUUCAGGCCUGACUUCCGGAGCUAACGCAUUAAGUCCUCCGCCUGGGGAGUACGACCGCAAGGUUGAAACUCAAAGGAAUUGACGGGGGCCCGCACAAGCGGUGGAGCAUGUGGUUUAAUUCGAAGCAACGCGAAGAACCUUACCUGGUCUUGACAUCCCGAUACUAUUCCUAAAAAGAGGAGGUUUCUUCGGAACCUCGGAGACAGGUGGUGCAUGGUUGUCGUCAGCUCGUGUCGUGAGAUGUUGGGUUAAGUCCCGCAACGAGCGCAACCCUUAUUGUUAGUUGCCAUCAUUAAGUUGGGCACUCUAGAGAAAAUGGCGGUUAAUAACCUGAAGAAAGUGGGGAAGACCUCCAAUCCUCCUGCCCCUUAUGAACUGGGCUACACACGUGCUACCAUGGUUGGUACCACGAAUCACGAAUCUCUGACGAGCAAGCAGAUCUUUUAAAGCCGAUCUCAAUUCGGAUUGGAAGCCGCAACUCGCCUACAUGAAGUCGGAAUCGCUAGUAAUCGCGGAUCAACACGCCGCGGUGAAUACGUUCCCGGGCCUUGUACACACCGCCCGUCACACCACGAGAGUUGGUUAGCACCCAGAAGUCGGUGAGGUAACCUUUUAGGAGGCAGCCGACCAAUGUGGGAUAAAUGAUUGGGGUGAAGUCUUACAGGUGGGGGGGAGAAAAAAAAAAAAAA